This 816-nucleotide ribosomal RNA is filed under the name uncultured bacterium. Its description in RNAcentral is "bacterial SSU rRNA". It matches the Rfam family "Bacterial small subunit ribosomal RNA", at positions 1 to 807 of the family's 1533-position model. The record is from RNAcentral.
GAAUUCGCCCUUAGAGUUUGAUCCUGGCUCAGGAUGAACGCUGGCGGCGUGCCUAACACAUGCAAGUCGAACGGAGUUCUUAAGGAAUGCGACUUCGGUCAAAUGACUUUUGAACUUAGUGGCGGACGGGUGAGUAACGCGUGAGCAACCUGCCUUUCAGAGGGGGAUAACAUUUGGAAACAGAUGCUAAUACCGCAUAAGAUUACAGUACCGCAUGAUACAGUGAUCAAAGGAGCAAUCCGCUGAAAGAUGGGCUCGCGUCCGAUUAGAUAGUUGGUGAGGUAACGGCUCACCAAGUCGACGAUCGGUAGCCGGACUGAGAGGUUGAACGGCCACAUUGGGACUGAGACACGGCCCAGACUCCUACGGGAGGCAGCAGUGGGGAAUAUUGCACAAUGGGCGAAAGCCUGAUGCAGCAACGCCGCGUGAGGGAAGACGGUUUUCGGAUUGUAAACCUCUGUUUUCGGUGACGAACAAAUGACGGUAACCGAGUAGGAAGCCACGGCUAACUACGUGCCAGCAGCCGCGGUAAUACGUAGGUGGCAAGCGUUAUCCGGAAUUACUGGGUGUAAAGGGAGCGCAGGCGGGAUAGCAAGUCAGCUGUGAAAACUAUGGGCUCAACCCAUAAACUGCAGUUGAAACUGUUAUUCUUGAGUGGAGUAGAGGCAAGCGGAAUUCCGAGUGUAGCGGUGAAAUGCGUAGAUAUUCGGAGGAACACCAGUGGCGAAGGCGGCUUGCUGGGCUCUAACUGACGCUGAGGCUCGAAAGUGUGGGGAGCAAACAGGAUUAGAUACCCUGGUAGUCCACACUGUAAAC